AACGAACGCUGGCGGCAUGCCUAACACAUGCAAGUCGAACGAGACCUUCGGGUCUAGUGGCGCACGGGUGCGUAACGCGUGGGAACCUGCCCUUAGGUUCGGAAUAACUCCCCGAAAGGGGUGCUAAUACCGGAUAAUGUCUUCGGACCAAAGAUUUAUCGCCUUUGGAUGGGCCCGCGUUGGAUUAGCUAUUUGGUAGGGUAAAAGCCUACCAAGGCGACGAUCCAUAGCUGGUCUGAGAGGAUGAUCAGCCACACUGGGACUGAGACACGGCCCAGACUACUACGGGAGGCAGCAGUGGGGAAUAUAGGAAAAUGGGCGAAAGCCUGAUCCAGCAAUGCCGCGUGAGUGAUGAAGGCCUUAGGGUUGUAAAGCUCUUUUACCCGGGAUGAUAAUGACAGUACCGGGAGAAUAAGCUCCGGCUAACUCCGUG
RNAcentral lists this ribosomal RNA (433 nucleotides) under uncultured bacterium. RNAcentral describes it as "partial 16S ribosomal RNA". It matches the Rfam family "Bacterial small subunit ribosomal RNA", at positions 29 to 507 of the family's 1533-position model. The record is from RNAcentral.